CCUACGGGAGGCAGCAGUGAGGAAUAUUGGUCAAUGGACGAGAGUCUGAACCAGCCAAGUAGCGUGAAGGAUGACUGCCCUAUGGGUUGUAAACUUCUUUAGGCGGGGAGCAAUGCCGGGCACGCGUGCCCGGAGGGAGAGUACCCGCAGAAUAAGCAUCGGCUAACUCCGUGCCAGCAGCCGCGGUAAUACGGAGGAUGCGAGCGUUAUCCGGAUUUAUUGGGUUUAAAGGGUGCGUAGGCGGAAUUUCAAGUCAGCGGUAAAAUGUCGGGGCUCAACCCCGGCCGGCCGUUGAAACUGGGGUUCUUGAGUGGGCGAGAAGUAUGCGGAAUGCGUGGUGUAGCGGUGAAAUGCAUAGAUAUCACGCAGAACUCCGAUUGCGAAGGCAGCAUACCGGCGCCCGACUGACGCUGAGGCACGAAAGCGUGGGGAUCGAACAGGAUUAGAUACCCCUGUAGUC
RNAcentral lists this ribosomal RNA (460 nucleotides) under uncultured bacterium. RNAcentral's name for it is "partial 16S ribosomal RNA". It matches the Rfam family "Bacterial small subunit ribosomal RNA", at positions 338 to 795 of the family's 1533-position model. The record is from RNAcentral.